RNAcentral lists this ribosomal RNA (751 nucleotides) under Vreelandella titanicae. RNAcentral describes it as "bacterial SSU rRNA". It matches the Rfam family "Bacterial small subunit ribosomal RNA", at positions 34 to 789 of the family's 1533-position model. The record is from RNAcentral. Lineage: Bacteria; Pseudomonadati; Pseudomonadota; Gammaproteobacteria; Oceanospirillales; Halomonadaceae.
UGCUUGGCGGCGGCUACCAUGCAGUCGAGCGGUAACAGGGGUAGCUUGCUACCCGCUGACGAGCGGCGGACGGGUGAGUAAUGCAUAGGAAUCUGCCCGAUAGUGGGGGAUAACCUGGGGAAACCCAGGCUAAUACCGCAUACGUCCUACGGGAGAAAGGGGGCUUCGGCUCCCGCUAUUGGAUGAGCCUAUGUCGGAUUAGCUAGUUGGUGAGGUAAUGGCUUACCAAGGCAACGAUCCGUAGCUGGUCUGAGAGGAUGAUCAGCCACAUCGGGACUGAGACACGGCCCGAACUCCUACGGGAGGCAGCAGUGGGGAAUAUUGGACAAUGGGGGCAACCCUGAUCCAGCCAUGCCGCGUGUGUGAAGAAGGCCCUCGGGUUGUAAAGCACUUUCAGCGAGGAAGAACGCCUAUCGGUUAAUACCCGGUAGGAAAGACAUCACUCGCAGAAGAAGCACCGGCUAACUCCGUGCCAGCAGCCGCGGUAAUACGGAGGGUGCAAGCGUUAAUCGGAAUUACUGGGCGUAAAGCGCGCGUAGGUGGCUUGAUAAGCCGGUUGUGAAAGCCCCGGGCUCAACCUGGGAACGGCAUCCGGAACUGUCAGGCUAGAGUGCAGGAGAGGAAGGUAGAAUUCCCGGUGUAGCGGUGAAAUGCGUAGAGAUCGGGAGGAAUACCAGUGGCGAAGGCGGCCUUCUGGACUGACACUGACACUGAGGUGCGAAAGCGUGGGUAGCAAACAGGAUUAGUCCCG